Cydia fagiglandana is the source of this 1263-nucleotide long non-coding RNA. RefSeq lists it as uncharacterized. Lineage: Eukaryota; Metazoa; Arthropoda; Insecta; Lepidoptera; Tortricidae. The record is from RefSeq and is a predicted model, not a curated record. The transcript has 4 exons.
UCCAUGGUGGACGCGUAUUAUUGGGCUGUACAUUCCUGGGUUGAGCAUUCUCGGGCCGCGCAAUAUUGGUCCGGGGCGAUAAUACGAAGCCACUCUUUUCACAGGGCAAUAAUGUACGACCCCAUAAUUCGCGUCCAAUAAUUUGAGUCCCUUGGCUUUCAAUUAUUGGGCUGCGCAUUAUUGGUACAGGUCGAGAAAGCCCGACCCAAUAAUGUACGACCCAAUAAUAGGAAGCCAAAAACCAGAGAGAUUCUUUUUUUUAAGGGAGCUGUCAAAAUUAGUAGGGACGUUCUGACAUUAGCUCUUGACAAUUUAAAAAUAAUCGGUUUUUUCUAGUGCCAUCUUUCAGUGACAUUGACAGUAUUGUAUUGACACUUGUUGGUUUACAAAUACAAUAAAAUGAAUUCUAAUAAAAGAAACAGUAGACUCAGUAGAGGUACGAGGUACUGAAAAAAUAUUAAUUAAUGGAGAAGCCGAAGUUGGAGGAAAACAAGAAGAUUCGAGGAGAAUGGUGUGGCACUUAAUGCCGCCGGGACAGUAACCUAGCUGCAGCUCCAACUCUAGGGAAUUGGGCUGAAUGAACGCAACACGUGAUCGACAGCCCACCUGCUUCCUGCCGAGCGUCCCUACACUACAUCUACAUGGAUUCGCUUAUUCUGCUCUACAAAACUUCUAAAACAAUACAAAUAAUACAGGAAGAAGAGAUUAAACAACAGGCGGUCUUAUCGCUAAAAAGCGAUCUCUUCCAGACAACCUUACUACUUUUGAGGAGCUGAUACAAGCAGCCAGAAUGAGUCUCUGCUGAGUCGCCGGCGCCGGACGUGCGUCGCGCGCCUCGGGCGACUGACGUCUUCGUGUGAGUCGCCAAUUGCAGGGGAAGAUACGAAUAGUUAGGUAUAAAAGCUACUUUAGUCAACCUCGCCUCAGUACUGUUUGUAUUGACUGAAAUACAAGUAGCAUAUAUGAGACGUUCGGACGUAUCCGUGAAAAUACGAAGGUAAAGGAAAUUGCACUACAUUUUUAGAACCUAUUCACCUGUCAGUAAAAUAUUGAAAAGGAAAGUUCAUGAGUUUUAUUAUUUUCUUUCCUCCAACAGCUUCACAUGGAGCAAAUGUAAACCUUUUAUGUUAAUAAUAUCAGUAAUGUCAAGGUACAACGCUCUUUAGAGCAUAUUGCCAUUCCUUUUACUCGAGUGGCCUGUGGGUUAACUAUACGAAGCGAGCCUACGAUGCAUUAAAAGUGCAGUAUAACAAUGCAUUCAGA